AUGCUUUUCAUUCUAACGAUGGAGCCCCUUCAAAGGUUGUUCGAGGUGGCUAUGGCUAGAGGUCUGGUGUCACCCCUGGCGCGUGUUGGCAUGAGGAAACGUCUCUCUAUCUUUGCUGAUGACGUGGUGCUAUUUAUCAAGCCAAAUCCAAUGGACCUUGAGGUAUGCAAGUCCCUGUUUGAGAUCUUUGGGGAGGCAUCAGGGCUGAGAAUCAACAUGAGCAAAUCCGCGGCCCUACCUAUCAGGUGCUCUGAGGAGGAGAUUGCAAUGGCAUGCAAUGAGUUGCAAUGCCCCUUGGGAUCGUUCCCGAUCAAGUAUCUUGGGCUACCCCUAUCGCUAAGGAAGCAAACCGCAACACAGUUAAAAAUUUUGGUGGAUCACAUGGCAAAUCAGCUACCGAAAUGGAGAGCAGCUUUGAUGCCCAAGAGCGGGCGACUAACUCUUGUGCAGUCUGUCAUGUGUGCAAUGCCAAUCCAUGCUAUGAUGGCUUUGGACCUACCUGCAAAAACUAUAUCGGCAAUGAACAAGAUUUGCCGAGGUUUCUUAUGGUGCCGAAGAGCUGAGGCAAACGGUUGUAACUGUGUUGUUGCAUGGGAUAUGGUUUGUACGCCGAAGUGGGCAGGUGGAUUGGGGCUGCCAAACCUCAUAUGGAUGAAUAUUGCCAUGCAAGCCCGCUGGCCGUGGCUCAUGAGGACGGAUGAGUCAAGACCACGGAAGGAAUUCAUAGUCAAAGUCCCGGAAGAAGCACAAAUGCUAUGUCAAGCAGCCAUGAGGAGCACUGUGCGGUCUGGACGAACAACACGCUUUUGGGAGGGCCGAUGGCUUCAUGGACAAAGAAUACAGGAGUUGGCGCCGCGAGUCUAUGAAUUGGUGCACCCCCGCACUCGCAACCUGAGGAUGGUCAGUACGGCCAUGCAGGACGGCUCUUGGGCGAUGGACAUCAGCCCCAACCUUGAACCGGAAACCUUACACCAGUUUCUAGCGCUAUGGCAACUGCUCAAUGGUUGGGAGCUUUCUGAUGACGAGCCGGAUGAGAUAACAUGGUCGUGGGAGACAAAUGGGCAGUUCUCUGUGAAAUCAGCUUAUGCGACAGCUUUCUGGGGCCGGGAGGUGGUCCAAACAGCGGACCUGACAUGGAAAUCACGUGCUCCGAUGAAAUGCAGGUUUUUCACAUGGCUAGCCAUGAAGAAUCGAUGCUGGACCUCGGAUCGACUAGCACGCAGAGGCCUACCCCAUCAGGACGCAUGCCCUUUCUGUGAUCAAGAGGAGGAAACGAUCGACCAUGUUCUACUCGCAUGUGUUUUUGCUCGCACAGUGUGGGCAUCGAUCUUCGUCGCGUUAGGGACACCAAGUUGGAUUCAUACUGCCCAAGAAACGCUGGUGGAGUGGGCCGUUGACAAGCGUGGUUCAAACAACGUCAACACGAAGGACCUUCGCACCAUCUUUGCGCUUACUUGGUGGGAGUUGUGGAAGCAUAGGAAUGCCAUUGUCUUCGAGGGCGCGCGUCCUUCGGUUGAGCAGUUACUAAGAAGCAUGUGCGCGGAGGGUUCCUCUUGGUCAACCGCUGGGUUACUACGAGGAGAUGCAAUGCCUUUCGUUGCUAGGUAG
RNAcentral lists this ribosomal RNA (1608 nucleotides) under Triticum aestivum (bread wheat). RNAcentral describes it as "partial small subunit ribosomal RNA". The record is from RNAcentral. Lineage: Eukaryota; Viridiplantae; Streptophyta; Magnoliopsida; Poales; Poaceae.